RNAcentral lists this ribosomal RNA (463 nucleotides) under uncultured bacterium. Its description in RNAcentral is "bacterial SSU rRNA". It matches the Rfam family "Bacterial small subunit ribosomal RNA", at positions 28 to 523 of the family's 1533-position model. The record is from RNAcentral.
GACGAACGCUGGCGGCGUGCCUAACACAUGCAAGUCGAACGAGAAAGUGGAGCAAUCCAUGAGUAAAGUGGCGCACGGGUGAGUAACACGUGACUAACCUACCCUUGAGUGGGGGAUAACCUAGGGAAACCUGGGCUAAUACCGCAUAAUAUCGAGAGAUCAAAGGAGCAAUUCGCUUAAGGAGGGGGUCGCGGCUGAUUAGCUAGUUGGUGGGGUAAUGGCCCACCAAGGCUGNGAUCAGUAUCCGGCCUGAGAGGGCGCACGGACGCACUGGAACUGAAACACGGUCCAGACUCCUACGGGAGGCAGCAGUGGGGAAUUUUGCGCAAUGGGGGAAACCCUGACGCAGCAACGCCGCGUGGAGGAUGAAGUCCCUUGGGACGUAAACUCCUUUCGAUCGGGACGAUAAUGACGGUACCGAGAGAAGAAGCCCCGGCUAACUUCGUGCCAGCCGCCGCGGUAA